Molecule: long non-coding RNA, 297 nt
Organism: Oncorhynchus tshawytscha (Chinook salmon)
Lineage: Eukaryota; Metazoa; Chordata; Actinopteri; Salmoniformes; Salmonidae
Source: Ensembl
UGAGAGAGGUGGUUGAUUGGCCCCAGCCUACUUCCGAGGUGCAGCUACAACAUUUCCUGGGGUUCGCCAACUUCUAUCCCUGCUUUAUCCGGGGUUACAGCACCCUGGAUUUCCCCCUGUCAGCACUCACCUCGCUCAAGGUUCCGUUCACGUGGUCUCCAGCUGCUGACUGGGCGUUUCGGGCCCUCAAACAUCGCUUCACCACAGCUCCCAUCUUGGUUCGUCCUGACCCAUCCCGUCAGUUUGUUGUGGAGGCUGAUGCUUCUGAUGUCGGAGUGGGGGCUGUACUGUCCCAGC